GCUUGAGGAUGAUGUUGCAAGCCGCACAUGCGUCCGGCCUCUAGGAGUCAUCCACACGAGCCCAUGAAUCUCGAUCAGAAGUCCUGCUUCAGGAAAUCAGCACAGUAUGCUAGUACUGAGCUGAUCCUUCUUUGAUGGUUGAUCAGGUGCCUCCUUCUUCUUGAUUUGGACUCUUCCAAAGAUGAAAAGUAGAAGGAGGAGUUUCAGAUCUGAGACGCUCUCAGGAAACUCAAGAUGGAGGGAGGAAAGAUAUGAAAACAAACAACCCUAGAAGAAGACCCUCUUCUUCUUCUCAUUUUUCUCUCUAGACACCCUAACUUGUGUCUAUUAUAUCUCCAUGACCCAAAGGUUUUUCUCUCUGAUUUUUGGAUGGC
RNAcentral lists this long non-coding RNA (374 nucleotides) under Elaeis guineensis (African oil palm). RNAcentral's name for it is "long non-coding RNA (EGUI_LNC028769)". The record is from RNAcentral. Lineage: Eukaryota; Viridiplantae; Streptophyta; Magnoliopsida; Arecales; Arecaceae.